UUGAGGAAAACGAAAAAUAAAAAAGAAAAUAGUUGGUACUGCACUUGCCUACUAAUCUGCGCUUCUUUUGCCUACACACCUUUAUUUCUUUUCUUUUUUUUUUUGGUUUUUACUUAUCCCCAGUUCCCAAUUUUACAAAAGGAAAACAUUGAAGAACCCUAACUUCUUACUGACUUCUUCUCCCCUUACUCUCAUUUAAGGACUGGCGCUACUCUCAGAUCGACGUUGGCCAAACUCUGACGACGGCCGACCGGUGUUCGCCUGCUUUCCUUUAGCCUUCUCUGAGUUCUCUCUCUUUGACAAAGCAAAACUCCAGUCUUCAGUUUUGUAGCCUGAUGAACAGAGUUUUGCAAAGGUGUAUUUCUGCCACCAGACCAUCAAUGUUAAAAUGAGAUGUGAUGGUUAGUUACCCGACUUGUCUCUGUAUGUGUUGUAUAAUAUUGUGUAGAAUUUAUUAUGAUUAAUUUAUAAUUAUCUUAUAAGUGUAUUCCAUCUUAUUGUCAUGGAGCAGUCAUGGGUUUUUGCUA
Molecule: long non-coding RNA, 527 nt
Organism: Chenopodium quinoa (quinoa)
Lineage: Eukaryota; Viridiplantae; Streptophyta; Magnoliopsida; Caryophyllales; Amaranthaceae
Exons: 2
Source: RefSeq, a predicted model, not a curated record